CGUACACUCCUGCGGGAGGCAGCAGUGAGGAAUAUUGGACAAUGGGUGGAAGCCUGAUCCAGCCAUCCCGCGUGCAGGAAGACGGCCCUAUGGGUUGUAAACUGCUUUUAUCUGGGGAUAAACCUACUUACGUGUAAGUAGCUGAAGGUACCAGAAGAAUAAGCACCGGCUAACUCCGUGCCAGCAGCCACGGUAAUACGGAGGGUGCAAGCGUUAUCCGGAUUUAUUGGGUUUAAAGGGUCCGUAGGCGGACUGAUAAGUCAGUGGUGAAAUCCGACAGCUUAACUGUCGAACUGCCAUUGAUACUGUUAGUCUUGAGUAAGGUUGAAGUGGCUGGAAUAAGUAGUGUAGCGGUGAAAUGCAUAGAUAUUACUUAGAACACCAAUUGCGAAGGCAGGUCACUAAGUCUUAACUGACGCUGAUGGACGAAAGCGUGGGGAGCAAACAGGAUUAGAUACCCUUGUAGUCCCAUGAU
This 475-nucleotide ribosomal RNA is filed under the name uncultured organism. RNAcentral describes it as "partial 16S ribosomal RNA". It matches the Rfam family "Bacterial small subunit ribosomal RNA", at positions 330 to 801 of the family's 1533-position model. The record is from RNAcentral.